RNAcentral lists this ribosomal RNA (374 nucleotides) under uncultured organism. RNAcentral's name for it is "partial 16S ribosomal RNA". It matches the Rfam family "Bacterial small subunit ribosomal RNA", at positions 527 to 896 of the family's 1533-position model. The record is from RNAcentral.
GUAGGUGGCAAGCGUUGUCCGGAAUUAUUGGGCGUAAAGCGCGCGCAGGUGGGUUCUUUAAGUCUGAUGUGAAAGCCCCCGGGCUCAACCGGGGAGGGUCAUUGGAAACUGGGGAACUUGAGUGCAGGAGAGGAAAGUGGAAUUCCACGUGUGGCGGUGAAAUGCGUAGAUAUGUGGAGGAACACCAGUGGCGAAGGCGACUUUCUGGCCUGUAACUGACACUGAGGCGCGAAAGCGUGGGGAGCAAACAGGAUUAGAUACCCUGGUAGUCCACGCCGUAAACGAUGAGUGCUAAGUGUUGGGGGGGUUUCCGCCCCUCAGUGCUGCAGCUAACGCAUUAAGCACUCCGCCUGGGGAGUACGGCCGCAAGACUG